RNAcentral lists this ribosomal RNA (492 nucleotides) under uncultured bacterium. RNAcentral's name for it is "partial 16S ribosomal RNA". It matches the Rfam family "Bacterial small subunit ribosomal RNA", at positions 29 to 507 of the family's 1533-position model. The record is from RNAcentral.
AGUGAACGCUGGCGGUAGGCCUAACACAUGCAAGUCGAACGGCAGCACAGUAAGAGCUUGCUCUUACGGGUGGCGAGUGGCGGACGGGUGAGGAAUACAUCAGAAUCUACUUUUUCGUGGGGGAUAACGUAGGGAAACUUCCGCUAAUACCGCAUACGACCUACGGGUGAAAGCAGGGGAUCUUCGGACCUUGCGCGAUUGAAUUAGCCGAUGUCGGAUUAGCUAGUUGGCAGGGUAAAGGCCCACCAAGGCGACGAUCCGUAGCUGGUCUGAGAGGAUGAUCAGCCACACUGGAACUGAGACACGGUCCAGACUCCUACGGGAGGCAGCAGUGGGGAAUAUUGGACAAUGGGCGCAAGCCUGAUCCAGCCAUACCGCGUGAGUGAAGAAGGCCUUCGGGUUGUAAAGCCCUUUUGUUGGGAAAGAAAAGCAGCAGGUUAAUACCCCGCUGUUCUGACGGUACCCAAAGAAUAAGCACCGGCUAACUUCGUG